This 73-nucleotide transfer RNA is filed under the name Stegodyphus mimosarum. It matches the Rfam family "tRNA". From Rfam's summary of the family: Transfer RNA (tRNA) molecules are approximately 80 nucleotides in length. The record is from Rfam by way of RNAcentral. Lineage: Eukaryota; Metazoa; Arthropoda; Arachnida; Araneae; Eresidae.
GCCUUCGUGGUGUAGUGGUCUGCAUUCUCGACGCGUAACCGAGAGGUCCGUGGUUCGAUUCCCGGCAAAGGCG